Molecule: ribosomal RNA, 701 nt
Filed under: uncultured bacterium
Lineage: Bacteria
Description: bacterial SSU rRNA
Rfam family: Bacterial small subunit ribosomal RNA
Source: RNAcentral
CGAGCGGCGCGCGGGGGCACCCUGGCGGCGAGCGGCGGACGGGUGAGGAAUGCAUCGGAAUCUACCUUGUUGUGGGGGAUAACGUAGGGAAACUUACGCUAAUACCGCAUACGACCUACGGGUGAAAGAGGGGGACCUUCGGGCCUCUCGCGAUAAGAUGAGCCGAUGCCGGAUUAGCUAGUUGGUGGGGUAAAGGCCCACCAAGGCGACGAUCCGUAGCUGGUCUGAGAGGAUGAUCAGCCACACUGGAACUGAGACACGGUCCAGACUCCUACGGGAGGCAGCAGUGGGGAAUAUUGGACAAUGGGCGCAAGCCUGAUCCAGCCAUGCCGCGUGUGUGAAGAAGGCCUUCGGGUUGUAAAGCACUUUUGUUGGGGAAGAAACCGACCGGAUUAAUACUUCGGUUGAAUGACGGUACCCAAAGAAUAAGCACCGGCUAACUUCGUGCCAGCAGCCGCGGUAAUACGAAGGGUGCAAGCGUUACUCGGAAUUACUGGGCGUAAAGCGUGCGUAGGCGGUUAGUUAAGUCUGUCGUGAAAGCCCCGGGCUCAACCUGGGAAUGGCGAUGGAUACUGGCUAGCUAGAGUGUGUCAGAGGAUGGUGGAAUUCCCGGUGUAGCGGUGAAAUGCGUAGAGAUCGGGAGGAACACCAGUGGCGAAGGCGGCCAUCUGGGACAACACUGACGCUGAGGCACGAAAGCG